Non-coding RNA from Salvia hispanica, 2450 nucleotides. NCBI's taxonomy places the organism in Eukaryota, Viridiplantae, Streptophyta, Magnoliopsida, Lamiales, Lamiaceae. The record is from RefSeq and is a predicted model, not a curated record.
AAAAUCUAUAAUGAAAAUGAAAAGAUAAUGCUUGCUAUUUUGCUGCCUGGAUUUUUUAGAUCUACUCUAAGUAUGUUCUUAUUUCUUGAUCCAGCAUUUUGUCUUCUCAUUAUUGGUUUGGAGGUUGUUGUUGUCGAUGGGCUUGGAGGCUGAUCUUGUGGUUGUCGUUGGGUUUGGAGGUUGUGGCUGUUCAUGGGUUGAAUGCUCUGUGAUGUUGUCGAUGGGUUUGGAGGCUGAGCUUGUUGUUUUCGAUGGGUUUGGAGACUGGUUGUUGAUGGGUUGAAUGCUAUGUGAUUGUUGAAUGCUCUUUGAUUAUUGUUGUUGAUGGGCUUGAAUGCUCUCUGAUUAUUGUUGAUGAUGAGUUUCAUUACUCUGUGAUUGUAUGUGUAACUGAUCUGUGUUGAUUAUGUUAUUGGGACAAUGGGCCUGAUAUGUGGCUUGGCUAUGUGAUUGUUGAAUGAGUAUCUCCUUACUAUGAUGAUACCUUAUCUGAUGCUUGUAUGUGUAAGUGCUCUGUGAUGUUUAUGUGAUUGGGAUACCCUUAUAAGCCACCCCUUGAAUAGGUUAGGAGGCUUAUCUAUGAUUGAGGCAGCCUUAUACCACCAGCCACCCCUUCAAUAUGUUAGGAGACUACCAAAUGAUGAAACAUUAUCUGAGGGAUUAGGAAUUAAACCUUACAAAAGUAGACUAAAUUCAUUUCACAUUAUAAGCCACCCCUUUAAUAGGUUAGGAGGCUUAUUUGAGAAUGAAAGAGCUUUACAAGCCACCCCUUAAACAGGAUAGGAGGCUACCCAAUGAUGACAAAAUAUUUGAGGGAUUAGGAUUUUAUAAGUCACCCCUUACAUAGGUUUGGAGGCUUUACAAAAAUAGACAAAAAAAUCAGUUCACAUUUUAAGCCACACCUAAUUUUGAGGCUUAUAAAGCCAACUGACAAAAAAGCUUUGCUCUUUGAUCUACUAGAAUCCUAGAGCUUCACUGAUACGUGAAAUGUCAUAAGCUUCACCAAUGUUGUUUUCGGGAAGUUGGAGGUAUUCCAGAGCUUCCUUAACAAGCUCUUCCUCGACCUCUAAAGUGAUUGGCAGCGAGUCCAACCUGGAUAACCUAGCCUUCUUCAUAUGUGGAAGUUUGUAUCCAUUCCCUCCAUGCACUUUCAUUAUCUCUGAUAAGCAACCUUGAAGUGAUAGGAAAACAUUGUUGAGGGUGUGUGGGCUAAGUUCUUCAAAGGAACUGUACACAUUGUUCACCAAGUCAUCCACCCCUUUAGCAAUUUUAUCAUCCUGCAGAGAUUGGAUUGCUGUGAAAAAACCCAAAUCCAAGACAUUAGUGUCUGGAAAAUUAGGAGGUUGGCAAAUGAUUUGGAAUUUGAAUCCAUCUAUGUUUGCAAUUGCCUGAAACUCUGAAUCAGUGGGGCUGAUAUGUGGCUUGGCAUUGUCUUGUUGAAUGAGUAUCUCCUUGCAUACAUUCGGUGGCCAUUUAGACUUGAUAGCUGGUAUAAUCUGUUCAAAAAUUCUGUAUGUGAUGAUAUUGUACAUGUCUGAUAGAAAAUCUAUAAAAAAAAUCAGUGUACCUUUUGGAUUAUGCAAUCUCUCGUGAUCGCCUUGUUGACUGAUUGGAUUGGCUUGGUCUCCAUGGUACCUUUUGCUCUGUUCUUUGAAUUCCUCUUUGCUGGUUCCAUAGUUGUGAAAGGAAAUAUGCCUAUUUUUCCAUCAAAAAUGGUUUCUCCAUCUUGUGCAAAGUGUGGUCUACACACAGCACACAUGAACAUAACCUUUGUGAUGAAUCUCUUUGACUUACAUGAUCUAUAUGGCUCAUCCUCAUCUGGCAGCAGGUAGUAUCUAUCUGAACUCUUAGUCAUGUAAAACCAUUUCUCAUCAAUAUGCACUACAUUGUGCAUUGUGUUGUAUUUGAGCUUACCAUCGAUUCUGAUUGGUUGAAUCUGGCUGAGACUCCAUCUGAGCCGUGCUAACUUGUUCAAAUCAGUACUCCACGCUCCAUCUGCUCUUUUGCUUCUGCCCAGAUUCUGUGAACUGUCUUUUUGCAUACUCCAAACUGUUGGGCAGCUUUUAUAAGAGCUUCAUGUCGUAGAUGACCUGAAUAGCUUUGUUGGAGAAGACUUUGAGCUAUCAAAUUUUUGGUGUCCACUCCUAUAGUGCGUGUAUCUCUCUGAGUUGUCUCCAUAACCCAAUGAUGAAUUUUUUCUGAGGGCAAGUGUUUAAAAGUUCUCUUUUUGGAUGUAUUGAUGCUUUUAUAGAUAGUGGCAGCUCCAAUCUCCCUCCAAUAUUUUCUGUACUUUUGCCUUUUGAAUUUUUGGACAUACCACCAAAAUUUCAGUACGUGUACUUGUGGUUUUGGGGAUUUCCCACCAAAAAAUCCCAAUUGUAAUGGUUUUGGGAUUUCCCACCAAAAAAUCCCAAUUGUAAUGAAAUUGGCAGAUUAUUUUUAUGGAUAAA